GAUGAAGAACGCAGCGAAAUGCGAUACGUAGUGUGAAUUGCAGAAUUCAGUGAAUCAUCGAAUCUUUGAACGCACAUUGCACCUCUCGGUAUUCCGGGAGGUAUGCCUGUUCGAGCGUCAUUUGUACCCUCAAGCUCUGCUUGGUGUUGGGUGUUUGUUCCGCCUCUGUGUGUGAACUCGCCUCAAAACAAUUGGCAGCCGGCGUACUUGUUUCGGAGCGCAGCACAUUUUGCGAUCCAGAUCAACGUACAGCGGCAUCCAAGAAGCCUUAUUUAACGCUCUUGACCUCGGAUCAGGUAGGGAUACCCGCUGAACUUAAGCAUAUCAAUAAGCGGGGA
Molecule: unclassified non-coding RNA, 338 nt
Filed under: soil metagenome
Description: partial contains 5.8S ribosomal RNA, internal transcribed spacer 2, and large subunit ribosomal RNA
Rfam family: 5.8S ribosomal RNA (bases 1-120)
Source: RNAcentral